RNAcentral lists this ribosomal RNA (389 nucleotides) under uncultured bacterium. RNAcentral describes it as "bacterial SSU rRNA". It matches the Rfam family "Bacterial small subunit ribosomal RNA", at positions 28 to 417 of the family's 1533-position model. The record is from RNAcentral.
GACGAACGCUGGCGGCGUGCUUAACACAUGCAAGUCGAGCGGUAAGGCCCUUUCGGGGGUACACGAGCGGCGAACGGGUGAGUAACACGUGGGUGACCUGCCCUCAGCUCUGGGAUAAGCCUGGGAAACUGGGUCUAAUACCGGAUAUGACUCCAUGACGCAUGUUGUGGGGUGGAAAGCCUUGUGCGGCUGAGGAUGGGCCCGCGGCCUAUCAGCUUGUUGGUGGGGNGAUGGCCUACCAAGGCGACGACGGGUAGCCGGCCUGAGAGGGCGACCGGCCACACUGGGACUGAGACACGGCCCAGACUCCUACGGGAGGCAGCAGGUGGGGAAUCUUGCGCAAUGGGCGAAAGCCUGACGCAGCGACGCCGCGUGAGGGAUGACGGCCU